Molecule: ribosomal RNA, 497 nt
Filed under: uncultured bacterium
Lineage: Bacteria
Description: partial 16S ribosomal RNA
Rfam family: Bacterial small subunit ribosomal RNA
Source: RNAcentral
GAUGAACGCUGGCGGCGUGCCUAAUACAUGCAAGUCGAGCGAACGGACGAGAAGCUUGCUUUUCUGAUGUUAGCGGCGGACGGGUGAGUAACACGUGGAUAACCUACCUAUAAGACUGGGAUAACUUCGGGAAACCGGAGCUAAUACCGGAUAAUCUUUUGAACCGCAUGGUUCAAAAGUGAAAGACGGUCUUGCUGUCACUUAUAGAUGGAUCCGCGCUGCAUUAGCUGGUUGGUAAGGUAACGGCUUACCAAGGCAACGAUGCAUAGCCGACCUGAGAGGGUGAUAGGCCACACUGGAACUGAGACACGGUCCAGACUCCUACGAGAGGCAGCAGUAGGGAAUCUUCCGCAAUGGGCGAAAGCCUGACGGAGCAACGCCGCGUGAGUGAUGAAGGUCUUCGGAUCGUAAAACUCUGUUAUUAGGGAAGAACAUAUGUGUAAGUAACUGUGCACAUCUUGACGGUACCUAAUCAGAAAGCCACGGCUAACUACGUG